GGGGAGUUAGUUUAUGGAGAUAAAACGUUAGACUUUCAAUCUUAAGAAACGGGUGCAAAUCCCGUACUCUCCACC
This 75-nucleotide transfer RNA is filed under the name subsurface metagenome. RNAcentral's name for it is "tRNA-Glu". It matches the Rfam family "tRNA". Rfam says of the family: Transfer RNA (tRNA) molecules are approximately 80 nucleotides in length. The record is from RNAcentral.